GGCGAACGCUGGCGGCGUGCUUAACACAUGCAAGUCGAACGAUGAAGCCUAGCUUGCUAGGUGGAUUAGUGGCGAACGGGUGAGUAAUACGUGAGUAACCUACCUUUAACUCUGGGAUAAGCCUGGGAAACUGGGUCUAAUACCGGAUACGACCAAUCUCCGCAUGGGGUGUUGGUGGAAAGCGUUAUGUAGUGGUUAUAGAUGGGCUCACGGCCUAUCAGCUUGUUGGUGAGGUAACGGCUCACCAAGGCGACGACGGGUAGCCGGCCUGAGAGGGUGACCGGCCACACUGGGACUGAGACACGGCCCAGACUCCUACGGGAGGCAGCAGUGGGGAAUAUUGCACAAUGGGCGCAAGCCUGAUGCAGCGACGCCGCGUGAGGGAUGACGGCCUUCGGGUUGUAAACCUCUGUUAGCAGGGAAGAAGAGAGAUUGACGGUACCUGCAGAGAAAGCGCCGGCUAACUACGUG
This 471-nucleotide ribosomal RNA is filed under the name uncultured bacterium. Its description in RNAcentral is "partial 16S ribosomal RNA". It matches the Rfam family "Bacterial small subunit ribosomal RNA", at positions 28 to 507 of the family's 1533-position model. The record is from RNAcentral.